GCAUAUCCAAAAGCGGAGGAAAAGAAACCAACAGGGAUUGCCCUAGUAACGGCGAGUGAAGCGGCAACAGCUCAAAUUUGAAAGCUGGCCUUCGGGUCCGCAUUGUAAUUUGUAGAGGAUGCUUUGGGUGAAACGCCAGUCUAAGUUCCUUGGAACAGGACGUCAUAGAGGGUGAGAAUCCCGUAUGUGACUGGAAAUGUUAACCUAUGUAAAGCUCCUUCGACGAGUCGAGUUGUUUGGGAAUGCAGCUCUAAAUGGGAGGUAAAUUUCUUCUAAAGCUAAAUAUUGGCGAGAGACCGAUAGCGCACAAGUAGAGUGAUCGAAAGAUGAAAAGCACUUUGGAAAGAGAGUUAAAAAGCACGUGAAAUUGUUGAAAGGGAAGCGCUUGCAAUCAGACUUGUUUAAACUGUUCGGCCGGUCUUCUGACCGGUUUACUCAGUUUGGACAGGCCAGCAUCAGUUUCGGCGGCCGGAUAAAGGCUCUGGGAAUGUGGCCUUCACUUCGGUGAAGGUGUUAUAGCCCAGGGUGUAAUACGGCCAGCCGGGACUGAGGUCCGCGCUCGGCUAGGAUGCG
This 573-nucleotide ribosomal RNA is filed under the name Aureobasidium pullulans. RNAcentral's name for it is "eukaryotic LSU rRNA". It matches the Rfam family "Eukaryotic large subunit ribosomal RNA", at positions 38 to 627 of the family's 3401-position model. The record is from RNAcentral. Lineage: Eukaryota; Fungi; Ascomycota; Dothideomycetes; Dothideales; Saccotheciaceae.